This 253-nucleotide ribosomal RNA is filed under the name uncultured bacterium. RNAcentral's name for it is "partial 16S ribosomal RNA". It matches the Rfam family "Bacterial small subunit ribosomal RNA", at positions 524 to 776 of the family's 1533-position model. The record is from RNAcentral.
UACGUAGGGUGCAAGCGUUAAUCGGAAUUACUGGGCGUAAAGCGUGCGCAGGCGGUUCGUUGUGUCGGCGGGGAAAGCCCCGGGCUCAACCUGGGAAUGGCCGUUGAAACUGGCGAACUGGAGUGUGGCAGAGGGGGGUGGAAUUCCGCGUGUAGCAGUGAAAUGCGUAGAUAUCAGGAGGAACACCGGUGGCGAAGGCGGGUCUCUGGGCCGAUACUGACGCUGAGGAGCGAAAGCGUGGGGAGCAAACAGG